RNAcentral lists this ribosomal RNA (253 nucleotides) under uncultured bacterium. Its description in RNAcentral is "partial 16S ribosomal RNA". It matches the Rfam family "Bacterial small subunit ribosomal RNA", at positions 524 to 776 of the family's 1533-position model. The record is from RNAcentral.
UACGAAGGUCCCUAGCGUUGUUCGGAAUCAUUGGGCGUAAAGCGCAUGUAGGUGGCUUUGCAAGUUGGGUGUGAAAGCCCCGGGCUCAACCCGGGAAGUGCACUCAAAACUGCUUAGCUUGAGUACGGAAGAGGAGAGUGGAAUACCUGGUGUAGUGGUGAAAUACGUAGAUAUCAGGUGGAACAUCAGUGGCGAAGGCGGCUCUCUGGUCCAGUACUGACACUGAGAUGCGAAAGCAUGGGGAUCAAACAGG